AAGUCGUAACAAGGUAACCGUAGGUGAACCUGCGGUUGGAUCAUUAAAAAUCUUAACAGCCUCUCACUGGCUUCGAGCAAGAUCUUGCGAAAAGCCGUGAAUGUUGGCACCACAUUUUGUGCACUGUAACGUCUUUGGUGGUUGGGCGGGUCUGUCUUUUUGUGACUUUCUCGUCUGUCAGCUUGGAUUUCUCAUAAUCCCUGCCGUGGACACGCCACCGUUUGUCUUUUCAACUUAUGUUUUCAUGAAUUGUCUGACAAAUUCUUGUAUCAAAAAUAUACAAACAACUUUUGGCAACGGAUCUCUUGGUUCUC
RNAcentral lists this unclassified non-coding RNA (314 nucleotides) under Spizellomyces dolichospermus. RNAcentral describes it as "partial internal transcribed spacer region". The stretch from base 1 to 46 matches the Rfam family "Eukaryotic small subunit ribosomal RNA", at positions 1786 to 1831 of the family's 1831-position model. Lineage: Eukaryota; Fungi; Chytridiomycota; Chytridiomycetes; Spizellomycetales; Spizellomycetaceae. RNAcentral also lists the same sequence under 1 other name. The record is from RNAcentral.